This 254-nucleotide ribosomal RNA is filed under the name uncultured bacterium. RNAcentral's name for it is "partial 16S ribosomal RNA". It matches the Rfam family "Bacterial small subunit ribosomal RNA", at positions 524 to 776 of the family's 1533-position model. The record is from RNAcentral.
UACGUAGGGAGCAAGCGUUGUUCGGAUUUACUGGGCGUAAAGGGCGCGUAGGCGGCAAAUUAAGUCAGCUGUGAAAUCUCCGAGCUUAACUCGGAACGGUCAGCUGAUACUGAUCUGCUAGAGUGCGGAAGGGGCAAUCGGAAUUCUUGGUGUAGCGGUGAAAUGCGUAGAUAUCAAGAGGAACACCUGAGGUGAAGACGGGUUGCUGGGCCGACACUGACGCUGAGUGCGCGAAAGCUAGGGUAGCAAACGGG